AAAACUUUCAACAACGGAUCUCUUGGUUCUGGCAUCGAUGAAGAACGCAGCGAAAUGCGAUAAGUAAUGUGAAUUGCAGAAUUCCGUGAAUCAUCGAAUCUUUGAACGCACAUUGCGCCCUUUGGUAUUCCGAAGGGCAUGCCUGUCCGAGCGUCAUU
RNAcentral lists this ribosomal RNA (158 nucleotides) under Physcia sp. KoLRI Udo-10. Its description in RNAcentral is "5.8S ribosomal RNA". It matches the Rfam family "5.8S ribosomal RNA". Rfam says of the family: 5.8S ribosomal RNA (5.8S rRNA) is a component of the large subunit of the eukaryotic ribosome. Lineage: Eukaryota; Fungi; Ascomycota; Lecanoromycetes; Caliciales; Physciaceae. The record is from RNAcentral.